This 472-nucleotide ribosomal RNA is filed under the name uncultured bacterium. RNAcentral describes it as "bacterial SSU rRNA". It matches the Rfam family "Bacterial small subunit ribosomal RNA", at positions 355 to 825 of the family's 1533-position model. The record is from RNAcentral.
UGGGGAAUAUUGGACAAUGGGGGCAACCCUGAUCCAGCGAUGCCGCGUGUGUGAAGAAGGUCUUCGGAUUGUAAAGCACUUUAAGUUGGGAGGAAGGGCAGUUACCUAAUACGUAUCUGUUUUGACGUUACCGACAGAAUAAGCACCGGCUAACUCUGUGCCAGCAGCCGCGGUAAUACAGAGGGUGCAAGCGUUAAUCGGAAUUACUGGGCGUAAAGCGCGCGUAGGUGGUUUGUUAAGUUGGAUGUGAAAGCCCCGGGCUCAACCUGGGAACUGCAUCCAAAACUGGCAAGCUAGAGUACGGUAGAGGGUGGUGGAAUUUCCUGUGUAGCGGUGAAAUGCGUAGAUAUAGGAAGGAACACCAGUGGCGAAGGCGACCACCUGGACUGAUACUGACACUGAGGUGCGAAAGCGUGGGGAGCAAACAGGAUUAGAUACCCGAGUAGUCCCUGAGCGGGCUGGCAAGGCGCAU